GUUUGUGUGUGUCUAGGCUCGAAAAUAUUACUGCGCAGGCCAUGUUUAGUGUUUAAAUCCUUUGUUUCCUCUAGUGUAAACACACACACUAUAGCUAUCCUCUGAGCUGACGGUAGCAACACACACACGCAUGCGCGCUACACAAGGUAACAGGCGUUUAGAAGUCUCGCGCGCGCUCCUUUGACGUGUGAGGAGGAGAAAGCGGCCUGCGGUGAGUCCGCACCUCCCCUUCAUUCUGUAAACGCGCUGAGGGUCUCCGCACAGCCGAGCUCGUCUGGAGAGUUGGCUAUCAAACAGCUGAUCCUGGGUUGUGUGUAUAGUACUGAAUCCAGACUGACAACCGGAGCAUUCAAAAAAGUUACCAAGCAACAGCGGAGAUGAAACCUGAUGGGGUUGCUCCAACUCCUCCUGAGCCAGCAGAUGAUGUGGUGGAGGCUGUCCCCGAAGAAGCUGCAAAUGAUCAGGUCCAACAAGACUCGAGUCCAUCAUGUCCACAGCCUACUGUCUCUGAAGAAGCUGCAAAUGAGGAUCAGGUCCAACAAGACUCGAGUCCAUCGUGUCUACAGCCUGCUGUCCCUAAAAACGAAGGUGAGCAACAAGGCUCAAACGCAACACUGCCUCCUCCUGGAAAAGAUGUUAAUGGGAAAUCUUCAAAACCUAAAGAAAAGACUAAAGCACCAGUAAAGACCAAGCCUGGUACAACAGGCACCAAAGCAACAACCACAACAGGUACUGCGUCUCGCCCUGCUGCUGCACAAAGCCGAGUGACCAAUGGUGUUCUGAAGGCCUUAAAUGGUGCAAGCAAGAAACCUGCGAGUAUGACCUCAGAGAUGAAGAAAAGUGCCCCAGUUGGAGGAUCUCAAGUCAAGAAAGUGCCCACCGCUGCAACUGGAGUUCCAAGAACACAAGUGAAGGCAGCUGAACGUAACGCUCUUGGGUCUGCCAGGCCAGUACCCUCCGCAAGUAGCAGGACAAGAAAAACACCAGUAGCAACCUCGUCAGCACUGAGCAAAAAGCCAGUCACGGAAGGCAGUAAUGCUGCAGUCAAACCCAAGACCACAGCCCCAAGGCCUCCUACUGCACCUGCUGCCAAAGCCAGUGUUUCGGCUGCCUCCAAACCUGCCCCUAGUCCCAAGACAACCAGGCCUACUGUAGCAACUGUUUCUCGUCCGGCCACUUCCUCAACGCCAGUUAGACCAACAACCACGGCUAGUAAAUCUGCAGCCUUAAGAACUCUCUCUGCUCCCUCUGCUGCCCACUCUGCAUCAUCACAGCCUUCCAAGAGCUCCACUAAUGUAGCAGCUAAAAGAGAUAUUAAAACUACCACCAGCGCAGCGGCCAGAAAACCGUUAGUCUGUCCUACUACACGCUCUCCAGCUACAAAGGCCUAUAAAAAUGAACCCCCCAAACCUGGUAUACCUGCCAAACGAUUACCUACGGACACUAAAACAUCUCAACCAAAAAUGGAUGAAACUAGACAAGUACCAAUACGGAAGUUCCCUCCAAGUCCCCGAAACGUUUCCUCACGUCCUCCUUCAGGUAACCACAAGCAGGGAGGAGCAAGUAGUAACCUAGUCUCUGUGAAGCAUCAAACAACCAAACCAGUGCAAUCUGUUGUGCCGUUAGUCAGACAACAGUCAGAGCCUGUGGAACCCUCUGCAACUUUGGAAACGACUGCUCCUGUACCAACUGCAGCUAUAACACCAGUAGAAUCUGUGAUUGAAGCACAACCUACUUCAGUAGAGCUAGUACAGCCUGAUCAGCAGACCAGUACACUUGAUCAGGGAGGUGGUGUGCAAGUACCUGCCUCAGAGCCUACAAAUGUGGACACCGUUUCCACCCAAGAGACAACAGAUGCUGAGCCAUUAGCUAUACAGUCAACAACUAAUGUGCCUGUUGUACGAGAAUCUGAAAAAGUUAAUGACCAAAUUUUGGUCGUGGCACCAAUGGCCCAAGAAAUGACUGAGCAAGAACCUGUAACUGCUUCACGAUCUGAGGUCCCAAUUACUGUCCAAGUGUCCCCAAAGGACUUGGAGGUUGUUGAGAAGCAAGAGCAAAUGAUUCGCAAUUUUGAAGAUGAUGAGGAAGAAGAAAAAGAGGGCAGUCAGCAGGUGUCUGUGUCUGACAUGAGUGGUACACAGCCUACUGAAGAGUCUAGGCCUGGAUCAGCUGGCCUGGCUGGUUCAGUAUGGCGAGCAGGAGGCCUGCCCUCAGAAUUUGACUCGGAAGAUGUAAGCUGUAGCCAGCAGGGGGCCUCAGAGCUUAGUGCUCCUGGUGUUUUAGAGGGCACUGAAAGUAUGGAUGAUCUAGGUGAGGCUAGCCUGAAAGGUGCUGAUGGUGAAGGUGCAUCAGCUGGAUCUCCAGACUUUGAGAAGUUCCCUGAUAUUCCAGUCAAUGAAGAUGACGAUGAAGAUGAUGAAUAUGAUGAUGAAGAUCGUGUUGAUGAUAUGGAAGUAGGAUCAGAAAUGACCGAAGACCCACACAGGCAGUACAAUGACAACGAGGAUGAAGAUGAAGAUGUGGAGAUGGCAAGUGAGGGUGUUACAGAGAGUGGCCUUGAAAGUUAUGGAAAUGCAGAUGAAGAUGACUUGGCAGAAGAUUACAGAUUGGACAACCUAAACCGUAUGCAGCCUUUAUCCAUUGUUCCUGCUGGCCUUUCUGUAGCAAAUCCUUUUGCUGAUGCCUGGAUGCAGUCACUACAACCUGAUCCUACCCUUGUUUCUAGUCUUCCUUCCAACCCUGGACAAACGUACUUAGAAUUGCCAAACCAACCUGCUGCUCAAGCUUGUCUGGAUAUUGGAAGUGUCAAAUCAGAUCUUUCUUCACCUUGGUCUCCAGCUGUUAUGGAUCCUGUUCCAAGUUUACCCCAGCUUUCUUUGGGGCUUGCUGCAGAGAUGAAUAUGGGCCUCAAUCAAGGCUUGACAUCCCAUUCCCUACACAUUUCUCAGUCUAGCACUCAGCUUGACCCAGAUCUUGCCAUCCAUACUUGCAGUGAUGCAAGCACACCUGAGGAGCUAAAAGACUAUAGUACAAGCCCUGGACUAGAGAACCAAAAACGGCACUUGCCAGUCAACCUGAUUCCUGUUGCUUUACCAGACGUGCAGGAUCUAGGCAUCUGUACAUUUGAUCGUGCAGGAUCUGAACAUGAAGAGGAAGAGCCUGAGACUCUGCCUGCAGAUGAUGUGUUGCCUGGUCAAUCAACUGUGAAGACUUUUGCACAAUCCUCCCAUUCUACUGCCACAGGAGGUGAGGCUAGCGACACAGAAGGGGACAUGCAGAUCAGUGAUCCUACUGAACCUGGUUCCACCGGAAAUGAAUGCUUUGACGGCACACAAGUUGUCCACAGCAUGUCCACCUUGGUGGAAGAAUGUGAGAAGAUCGGUGUUGAAAUGGAGGGAGGGGGUGGUAGUGACACUCCUCAGUCUGCCACUUCAGCCGCAUCUUAUGGUUUUGAGUGUACCACCUCGAAUUCUAAUGCCCAGUCUACCACAGAGAGCUGUAUCAAAAGCCCAGGCAUUUUUUCUCUUGAAAAUGAAGAACAGCUUCCAGAUGAAGCCAAAGACCCGUCACUUAUUAAGGAGCUGAACUUUGUACCUGCUGGUGAUGCUGCAGAUGCUGAUCUCCUUGACCAGCAAGGGGAGCUUCUGUUGAAUUCCGAGCAGCAGUACAUGCUUUGUGGGGAGGUCACUUCAGUGUUACCAGAACCUUGCUCCCAAGGAGGCACUGUCCCCACUGAGACAGGCUUGGAUAGCUCUUCCUCAGAGCACCAAGAAGACUUGGCUCUUGAUGCACCACAUUCCUACUACUCCACAGUAUGCGAAAAGACUAAUAGCUUCUCGACAGGAAUUGUGACCACAGUCCACACAAGGUCACCCAAGCAAUAUUCUGGACUACGUGUGGAUCAUGUGACCCGUCUCCCUAAUGAUCUUCCUCCCAGGGUGCCAAAUGUGGGUUGUAACACUCAGCUCCGUCGGCUAGAAUGUCAUCAGCAGCAGCUUGAGGAGAUUGAACAGCGGCGGGAGCAACAGAGCCGAAGGGCUGAGAGACGAAUGGAGGAACGAGAAGGGGAGAGAAAAGACCCAAACCAAGUGGAGGAAGAGCUUGAAGAGAACCGGGAGGAGCUGGAGGAACAGAGGAGGGAUCUACUCCACCUGAAAAUUCAACAGCAGGAGCUGAAACAGAGGCAGCAGAUCAUGCAGUGGCAACAAGAGCUGGAACAACAGCAACAAAGUAAGCACCAGAAGACACUAACUCCAGUUCUUCUGUCACCGUCUGGUCUUUGCACCAUCUAUGAGGCACUAGAGACCAGUGAUGCAGAGGAAGACUUUGAAGACAAAAUGAAAGGGAGAGACAGGGUAAUGGAAGAAUAUGAAUGCUCCCCCAAAGAAAGAAGUAUCCUAGAGAUAAGCUUCUGUUCCGAUAACCCAGACUCUCCACAAUCACAGGGCACAUCACCAUCUCCAACUCUUAUUCAGGAUCAUGAAGGGCUAGCUAACUCUGUAACCUCAGACAGCCCUCCUCUUUCUAGAUCCAACUCUCCCCAGCAGCCUUGUCCUCUGGAACUUGACUGGAGCAAGAAAGCCGACAUUGUCCAACAGCUGAUUAACCAGACGCUAUUACUAAAUGGUGACAACUGCUCGCCACUUUUGCUCCUCCCUGGUGGGGCUGCUGGGACACUGAACCCACUGGAGACGAACCUGUGGCCCAACCUCUCCCCACUUACUCCACCUUCUGCCACAGUGACUUCUGUGAGCAGCUUCUCAGCUGAGAUUUCUGGCAGCUCUCCACAAGGGGAGUGGACAGUCGUGGAGCUCGAGACUCAUCAUUAAGGCCUACUGUUGGAGUGGAUGGAUUGAAAAGAGACAUCUCUCUUGUUGGAGCCAUGAUUCUUGCCAAUCCACUUGGUCCAGCAGCCCUCCAAGGUGUGAUAACUGCGCUGUUUCUAACUGCAGACUAACGAGCAGAUCUAACCUGAGGCAGGUGUCAAUUUAGGGAAAGGAAAUUGACUGGUGUUUCUGAAGGCCAAGAAGGUGCACUUUGGAAUGACUAUUAUUGUAUCAUGUUUGUGAUCUGUUUGUUCUACAGAAUAAAACGUCUGAGUGCUCAUCCAAGACUGGUGAUUCCAUACUUUUUGCCAGGGGUUGUAGAAUUGACUAAUGUUGGCAAUAAGUUUUAAGGCAUUAAUGUGCACACUUUGUUAAAAACUUGACUAAAGGAAUAGUCUUGAGGUUGAGGUCAACAUACCAGUUAACUGUUCACAAUAUGAAGGAAUGAAAAGCCUUAGUAAUGCACAUGAGAGCAUUUUUAGAAUGUUGAUACUAAUGGGAAAAGUCAUUUUCAGGAAAUUGAGCGGUCAGAUUAAAUGUUAAGGAUUUUUUUUUUCUUUUCCAGUUUAAGAAUAAAGUGGGAUCACUAAAAUGGGCAUUAAUGAAGGAUCAGCAAAACUGGCUCACACUGGGAGAAACUGGUGCUAUUUAAUAUUUCUAGAUUUAAAUUUAUUAUGGUAAAUGUUUUUAGUGAUGAGCACAAUUUGAUGAUGACCUGUUUAUUACUCAAAGUAUUCACCUUCAGCUGUUCAGGUGCGGUGAUGCAUUAAACCCUUAAUGGUAGCCGACACUGUCAAAGCUGUAUUUCGUGACCGUCAUUUUUAGAUUCUGUGAAUGGGUUUUGCCAUCUUUGUAUAUUACUCUACACUGUGACUGACCUAAAGUGUACAAGUAAAAUUCUAUAAGUGGUCUUGUAAUGUUAUACUAACCCUUUCCUGUGAAAUGUCCUUAUUUGCAUGUAUUGUGGCUUGUUUUCCAGCACUUGUGGUCGUUGUUUAGCUCUGUAUAGACGUGGCACAUCAUCUUGUGUAAUGGAGAUGCAUUUUCUCUGGUUAGUCUAAUUGAAGAACUAUAAUCGUGCCCAAAGGGAAUGCUUCUUAAUUUUGGAUAAACAUAAGGGUGCAGAUGGAUCAUUGUAGCCCUUGAUAUUGCAUGCUUGAUUAAAUGGUCAUAACUGUGUAGAUGCCCAUAAAAGUAGAUUUAAAUUGAAGUGUAGACUUCACCAAGUCUAGGUAUUUUGUCAAUCCGUCUUUCAUUGUCUUGUUUUAAGCCCUUUUUUUUUUUAAGUUUAUAGUCAAGAUUCCAUUAAUAGUUUAGUCACUGAACACUAAAAUCAGGGAAUUAAGUCUCCAGGUAUAUUCAGACCAGUACAACUGUUGCGGUCUUCACUGUGGAAUGAAAAUUUCAUGUCUUGGUGCCAGCGUACAUCAGGAUUAGUGUAGGCCAGACCCACUGGACUUGCUCAUGUUUUAAUAAUUCACUGUAAAUAACAAUCAGGGAGCAAAGAAAAACAAAGGGAUCAGAACUAUUAAAAGGAAACCCAAAAACUCAUGAACUGUGAUCACAUGCACAACAAAUGGAAAUGUAACUUAGUUUUGUUCUGUACUACUUUUUGUAUAUUUUUGUAAUUUAUUUUCAAAUGAAGGAAUGUAUUUUUGUAUUUAGUUUGUACGUUAUCAAACCAUGGCAGCUCGAUUUAUUUUUCAGACUGUGCAAAUUACUGUUUCAAUGCUGAAAUGAAAAUAAACCUGGAUGGG
This is an RNA transcript of Neoarius graeffei (lesser salmon catfish), 6583 nucleotides long. It is a transcript of the gene named proline rich 36a, with no coding region annotated. The record is from RefSeq and is a predicted model, not a curated record. The transcript has 8 exons. NCBI's taxonomy places the organism in Eukaryota, Metazoa, Chordata, Actinopteri, Siluriformes, Ariidae.